RNAcentral lists this ribosomal RNA (232 nucleotides) under uncultured bacterium. RNAcentral describes it as "partial 16S ribosomal RNA". It matches the Rfam family "Bacterial small subunit ribosomal RNA", at positions 118 to 347 of the family's 1533-position model. The record is from RNAcentral.
UGAGCAACCUGCCCUUGACACUGGAAUAACAGUUGGAAACAGCUGCUAAUACCGGAUACGACCUUCGAUGGCAUCAUCUGAAGGUGGAAAGUUCCGACGGUCAAGGAUGGGCUCGCGGCCUAUCAGCUUGUUGGUGAGGUAACGGCUCACCAAGGCUUCGACGGGUAGCCGGCCUGAGAGGGUGACCGGCCACACUGGGACUGAGACACGGCCCAGACUCCUACGGGAGCAG